UAGGGAAUCUUCGGCAAUGGACGGAAGUCUGACCGAGCAACGCCGCGUGAGUGAAGAAGGUCUUCGGAUCGUAAAGCUCUGUUGUUAGAGAAGAACGUUGGUAGGAGUGGAAAAUCUACUAAGUGACGGUAACUAACCAGAAAGGGACGGCUAACUACGUGCCAGCAGCCGCGGUAAUACGUAGGUCCCGAGCGUUGUCCGGAUUUAUUGGGCGUAAAGCGAGCGCACGCGGUUCUUUAAGUCUGAAGUUAAAGGCAGUGGCUUAACCAUUGUACGCUUUGAAAACUGAAGGACUUGAGUGCAGAAAGGGAGUGUGCAAUUCCAUGUGUAGCGGUGAAAUGCGUAGAUAUAUGGAGAAACACCGGUGGCAAAAACGGCUCUCUAAUCUGUAACAGACGCUGAGGCUCGAAAGCGUGGGGAGCAAACAGG
Molecule: ribosomal RNA, 429 nt
Filed under: Bacillota bacterium
Lineage: Bacteria; Bacillati; Bacillota
Description: Firmicutes bacterium partial 16S ribosomal RNA
Rfam family: Bacterial small subunit ribosomal RNA
Source: RNAcentral